This 170-nucleotide ribosomal RNA is filed under the name Malcolmia africana. Its description in RNAcentral is "5.8S ribosomal RNA". It matches the Rfam family "5.8S ribosomal RNA". From Rfam's summary of the family: 5.8S ribosomal RNA (5.8S rRNA) is a component of the large subunit of the eukaryotic ribosome. The record is from RNAcentral. Lineage: Eukaryota; Viridiplantae; Streptophyta; Magnoliopsida; Brassicales; Brassicaceae.
AAGUCUAAAACGACUCUCGGCAACGGAUAUCUCGGCUCUCGCAUCGAUGAAGAACGUAGCGAAAUGCGAUACUUGGUGUGAAUUGCAGAAUCCCGUGAACCAUCGAGUCUUUGAACGCAAGUUGCGCCCCAAGCCUUCUGGCUGAGGGCACGUCUGCCUGGGUGUCACAA